Molecule: non-coding RNA, 485 nt
Organism: Schizosaccharomyces pombe (fission yeast)
Lineage: Eukaryota; Fungi; Ascomycota; Schizosaccharomycetes; Schizosaccharomycetales; Schizosaccharomycetaceae
Source: the annotation of a GenBank genome assembly
AUAAACAAGCGAGUAUGGAAAUCAUCAACAUUUGCUUUUGACAUGAGUUUCCUUAUAAAUUGAACUUUGUCCAAUUGAUUUCUAAAACCUUCAAAUGUUUUAGUUAAACGAUCACCUUUGUUGGAUCCUUGUACUUUCCCUGUUUGUCUGAGUAAUUCUUGCCAUGUAAGACUUCCAUUCUCAGAAAACAUGCGUUCAGCGAAUUGUUGCUCUAAUUCUUCUAGGUGAUUCAAUGUAUACUGUCUUUUAGUAUGCUCAUUUGGGAAUAAUGAAGGGUAUUCAGUAAAGUGUUGAUCAAGUUUUGAAAUGUAACUUUCAACAUCCUUAUUUGGAUCGAAUUUCCCUAUCUCUGGUACAUGCUUCGAUAAUAUUUUUGCAAAAAGGUUUAUUAAAUGUUCGUCUGAUGUUUGAAUUCCAUCCAAAUUCUCUGGUCUCCAUCGUUUUGCUCUUGCUUUCAUAUAACGAUAAUUUGCGUAGGACAUUGU